This is a long non-coding RNA of Triplophysa rosa, 2009 nucleotides long. RefSeq lists it as uncharacterized. The record is from RefSeq and is a predicted model, not a curated record. Lineage: Eukaryota; Metazoa; Chordata; Actinopteri; Cypriniformes; Nemacheilidae. The transcript has 4 exons.
GCUAGACUGGCUGAUUUUGGCAUAAGUCGUAGACUGAAACCGAGUGAAACCACUUUACGAAAAAGCAUCGCUGGAACUAAAUUCUGGAAGGCAAAAGAAGCAAUCGAUGAAGAAAGCAACAGUGGCUACAAAAGAUGUUCUGACAUUCAGGUUGCUGGGAUGUUAGUGUACUACAUUCUCUCUAGAGGGCAUCAUCCAUUUGGCAAAGGUGCCGUCUGCGAGUACAACAUUCUGCAGGGAAAAUACAAACUGGAGCACCUGGAGGAUGAUGUAGCGAAUGAUCUUGUGGAGUGGAUGAUCAAUGAAGAUCCAGGAAAGAGACCAACUGUGGAGCAGACACUUGCACACCCCUUCUUCUGGAAUGAUGAAAGUUUGGCCCUGAGCUCAUCCAGAAACUGGAUAAAAAGAAGAAAGCUUAUCCUGAGAAUACACUUGGCCUGCUGCGAUUUGUACGCAACCUGCACGAGCAUUACUCAGAGGAUGCAGCGAACAUCAACCUAAUGGCUUUAUUCCCUGAUCUUUUUGGGAGUGUGUACAAGUUUGCAAAGGAAAGCGGAUGGCACUCCAGGCCGAGUCUGAAAAGGUUCUUGAACUCCGCUCCAUAGAUUUGACUUUAUUUCUGGAUUGAAUAUGAACACUGAUACUGCAUCAUCUAUAUGAAUUGUGUACCUAGAAUGAUAUGAUUUUUGAAAAUGAUCACAGUGAGAACAGUCUCUGACAAUAAUUGUCCCAGCUCUCGUGUUUCCUUUGAUAAAUUCAGGGAUAGCGGCUAAAAUCGAUGUAAAUUCUGUUGUGAGAAAACAGUCAGCAUUGUGUACUUGUAUUUGACACUUGGGUGCUUUCUUUCUCUUCGAACACAAGGGAACAGUUUCUGACAGUAACAUUCUCUGUUAAUUCUCUCCCAAGGGAACAGUAUCUGACAGUAACAUUCUCUCUUAAUUCUCUCCCAAAUACACACUAAAUAAUGACAUUUUGUAAAGGUAUUUAUAAUGCAAACAGUUUUUUAGCUAGCCCAUUUUUAAAAGUCAUGAAAUAUGCUUUUUUUGACAAUUUUUUAAAAAUAGCUUUUUACAGUCACAUUAUUGGUGCACAUACUCAUUGAUGUACAAUUCAAUGAGGCAUCUAUGUAUGUAUAUGAAAGCAACAAACAUGACACGUGAGAUAAAUAUAAAAAAGAUCUUUAUUUAGUUGAACUGAAGACCACCUGCCCACCCUUUAUCCCAACCUCACCACUAUUCUCAUCUCCAAAGUCACUACACAUGCAUUUGUGCUACGGGCACACUAUCACAGAGAGUUUUGUAUGCUGCUAGUUACCUCUUUCUGGUCCUAAACUGAUGUGGUUUUCCAAGCGCACGCAGCACAAGGACAUGACGGCUCAGGUCUAACCUUAUUGAUUUAUGGUAAAGCUAAGACAUUUCGUUUCAUUUAUUAUUUGUAUCAUUUUUAAAUUGCAUCAAUUUUGCAGAGUUACAGUUACAUAAAUUAUUAUUUUUUGUACUUAAAGACGCUGCGUUUCAUUGUUUUGUAUUGAGGCUCCAUAAAUGUGCGCUAAACAAGCCUAAAACAUUUAUUUAUUUUUGUUUAAGAAUUUAUAUAUUCACCCUAGGCUGACUAAGUUUAACACUUAAAAAAAUAAGAGAAAAGAUGCUGAGCUUACCUUGUGUUCUUAUUGUAACUCAUUGCCUUUCUGUGUUGGGAUUUAACAAUAAAAAGUAUUUAAAAAGAUCAACUUGUCAUUUUAAAACAAACAAUAUAUCCUAGAAUAAUAACCCAGCAACAAUAACUUAAUAUACGAUCUGUGACGUCCUAGCGAUUGCUGAAGUUUUCAAGCUGGAUGAAACGUAUGAAGGUAUUUUUGGUGCAAACACGAGCGCCUGUGAGAGUGGAGUUUGUAGUUGUUGGCCACACAUGUGUAUCAGCAAACUUUUUUCUCUCUCCUGCAAACACAACACAACAGUUACACCUUCUUGAAUCCUUCAGUGCAAGUGCACAAAUCCAAUUCUACAAAC